This 462-nucleotide ribosomal RNA is filed under the name uncultured bacterium. RNAcentral describes it as "partial 16S ribosomal RNA". It matches the Rfam family "Bacterial small subunit ribosomal RNA", at positions 28 to 507 of the family's 1533-position model. The record is from RNAcentral.
GACGAACGCUGGCGGCGUGCUUAACACAUGCAAGUCGAGCGGUAAGGCCUUUCGGGGUCCACGAGCGGCGAACGGGUGAGUAACACGUGGGUGAUCUGCCCUGCACUUCGGGAUAAGCCUGGGAAACUGGGUCUAAUACCGGAUAUGACCUCCUAUCGCAUGGUGGGUGGUGGAAAGAUUUAUCGGUGCAGGAUGGGCCCGCGGCCUAUCAGCUUGUUGGUGGGGUAAUGGCCUACCAAGGCGACGACGGGUAGCCGACCUGAGAGGGUGACCGGCCACACUGGGACUGAGACACGGCCCAGACUCCUACGGGAGGCAGCAGUGGGGAAUAUUGCACAAUGGGCGAAAGCCUGAUGCAGCGACGCCGCGUGAGGGAUGACGGCCUUCGGGCUGUAAACCUCUUUCAGCAGGGACGAAGCGCAAGUGACGGUACCUGCAGAAGAAGCACCGGCUAACUACGUG